GCUCCGGUCUUUGUCUUCAACUUGGUCAUCUCCUGGCUUCUGGUGCAGACUGUUCGGCUUCUGCCUGGGACUCUUCAGCCUUCUGGUAUAAGCUCUCCAGACUUCAUCAUAGAUUCUUCAACAUUCCGUUGCAGACCCAUCAGCCUCCUGACACAGACUUGCACGGACACUGCAGUGAGCUCCAGACCUGGGUCUGACCUCUUCAGUCUCCAGCCUGCAGACACCCUCUGCACGCUUCCUCAUCCAACUCUGUGGCUGACCAUUGUAAGCCAAACUUAUAAUUUCUUUAUAAGUACAGGGAAUAAGUUCUGUCCAACCUGAUAAAUGUUAUACACUUUUUUACUGAAAUCCCAGGCAGAUAAGUGCAGGGAAUGAUGUCAAAUAGUGCUCACAUGUUUUGACUUAGCAAUAUUACACUAGUUUCAAGGAUGGAUUUAAAUACCUCAUCAAUGUUGAUUUGAAUUCUCUUCAGAUUGGGGAGGGACUUUUAAAUUAUCUCUCCCAUUCAUCUCUGUUUUAAAAAAGAAAAACCACACAUCUCUCAGUAACAGCAGAUGCAAAUGGGUGAAGCUUGAGCCUCAAAUAUGAGUCACUUUCUCACAUCAUCACUUGUAGCUGGAAAAUACUGAAGCCUCUUGGAUGCCAGGAGCAGACAGGACACCAGGAAAAAUCAGUCAUCUGAAUCUGUAGCCCAUGCACUGGGGCUCAGCUCUUCCACCUGGACCAGACCCCAGAGGCAGUAGAAACCAUAAACGGACACAGACACAAAAGUGCAGCCAAUUUACUCAGAAGUGGAGGAAUAUUCUUUAUGCACCAACCAAACAAACAUACAAACUGAAUCAGCUGAAGAAAAAGGUAAGGGUUAUUCACCUUCUCCGUCCUUUACAUUCUUAGCCUAUGUGUAUGCAAUUAAAGUAAUAUAAAUCAGAAACUACUGUUGUAAAUAACAACUUAGCUUGUGCCCUAUCUCAUAAGAUUGCCUGAACUACAUCCAAAUAUCUAAAUGAAAAGGAAAAACUGAAAACCAAAUGUCCAAAUUUAAUAUAUCACAAAGAAUAUUGGUGUAGUUAGGUUUCAUGUUCUAUAUAUGCAGCCAUAACUGGUCAAGUAGGACAACUAAAAUUUUCCAUUUGUUUGGAAACAGUUGUGAAGCUCCAAUUAUUGGACACUCAUUCUGUGAAAUUCCAUCAACAGUGUUUGAUUAGCAGUGUUUGAUGCACAUGUGUGAUUAUCAUUUUUUCUGCAUAUAACAGUGGCUAUUCUUUAUGAUGAAGAAAAGCAGAGCAACU
Molecule: long non-coding RNA, 1289 nt
Filed under: Chinchilla lanigera (long-tailed chinchilla)
Lineage: Eukaryota; Metazoa; Chordata; Mammalia; Rodentia; Chinchillidae
Description: lncRNA (ENSCLAG00000027829.1)
Source: RNAcentral